RNAcentral lists this ribosomal RNA (253 nucleotides) under uncultured bacterium. RNAcentral describes it as "partial 16S ribosomal RNA". It matches the Rfam family "Bacterial small subunit ribosomal RNA", at positions 524 to 776 of the family's 1533-position model. The record is from RNAcentral.
UACGUAGGGGGCAAGCGUUACUCGGAAUUACUGGGCGUAAAGGGUGAGUAGGCGGCUGGGUAAGUCAAGGAUGAAAUCCCGAGGCUCAACUUCGGAACCGUCCUUGAAACUGCUCAGCUUGAGGGUAGUUGAGGAGAGCGGAAUUCCCGGUGGAGCGGUGAAAUGCGUAGAUAUCGGGAGGAACACCUGAGGCGAAGGCGGCUCUCUAAGCUACUCCUGACGCUGAAUCACGAAAGCUAGGGGAGCAAACGGG